GCCGGGCGUGGUGGCGGGCGCCUGUAAUCCCAGCUACAGGGGAGGCUGAGGCAGGAGAAUCGCUUGAACCCUGGAGGCGAAGCUUGCAGUGAGCCGAGAUCGCGCCACUGCACUCCAGCGUGAGUGACAGAGCGAGACUCCGUCUCAAAAAAAAAAAAAAAAAAAGAAAAGAAAAGAAAAAGAAAAUUUGAGACGGAGUCUGGCUCUGUCGCCCAGGCUGGAGUGCAGUGGCGCGAUCCCGGCUCACUGCAAGCUCUGCCUCCCGGGUUCACGCCAUUCUCCUGCCUCA
RNAcentral lists this signal recognition particle RNA (289 nucleotides) under Pan troglodytes (chimpanzee). It matches the Rfam family "Metazoan signal recognition particle RNA". From Rfam's summary of the family: The signal recognition particle (SRP) is a universally conserved ribonucleoprotein. Lineage: Eukaryota; Metazoa; Chordata; Mammalia; Primates; Hominidae. The record is from RNAcentral.